This 71-nucleotide microRNA precursor is filed under the name Monopterus albus (swamp eel). RNAcentral describes it as "Mal-Let-7-P2a3a_pre stem-loop". It matches the Rfam family "let-7 microRNA precursor family", at positions 7 to 78 of the family's 84-position model. Rfam says of the family: This family represents the microRNAs (miRNA) let-7 and mir-98. let-7 was identified from a study of developmental timing in C. elegans, and was later shown to be part of a much larger class of non-coding RNAs termed miRNAs. The extents of the hairpin precursors are not generally known and are estimated based on hairpin prediction. The products are thought to have regulatory roles through complementarity to mRNA. The record is from RNAcentral. Lineage: Eukaryota; Metazoa; Chordata; Actinopteri; Synbranchiformes; Synbranchidae.
UGAGGUAGUAGUUUGUAUAGUUUUAGGAUCACACCAGAUCUUGGAGAUAACUAUACAGUCUACUGUCUUUC